This 409-nucleotide ribosomal RNA is filed under the name uncultured bacterium. RNAcentral describes it as "bacterial SSU rRNA". It matches the Rfam family "Bacterial small subunit ribosomal RNA", at positions 976 to 1378 of the family's 1533-position model. The record is from RNAcentral.
UAGCCUUGACAUUGAUAGAAUACACCAGAGAUGGAGUAGUGCCUUUCGGGGAACUUGAAAACAGGUGCUGCACGGCUGUCGUCAGCUCGUGUCGUGAGAUGUUGGGUUAAGUCCCGCAACGAGCGCAACCCUCGUCCUUAGUUGCCAGCAGGUUAAGCUGGGCACUCUAAGGAGACUGCCUUCGUAAGGAGGAGGAAGGUGAGGACGACGUCAAGUCAUCAUGGCCCUUAUGGCUAGGGCUACACACGUGCUACAAUGGGGCGUACAGAGUGUUGCGAUACCGCGAGGUGGAGCUAAUCACUUAAAGCGUCUCUCAGUUCGGAUAGCAGUCUGCAACUCGACUGCUUGAAGCUGGAAUCACUAGUAAUCGUAGAUCAGCAAUGCUACGGUGAAUACGUUCACCGGGUCU